AAACAUAGUAAUUGUUCCUUGCAGUUGUGAAACAAACAAAGAGUUGAGAUGGAGAAUCCAAAUGGAAGCCCUGGUUUAAAUAGAACGGACUGGGAAGACCUCUCUGAAGGGAUACCAACCAUCUGGCCCUAAAACAAAUCUCAUCAGUUUAUGAACCAAGCAGCCCAAUCAGAGUGCCUAAUUCUCCCUACCACACAAUUGGUCAAGGAGGAAGCAAGUGACAUAAUCUAAAUUCUUUCCAAAGAUGGAUGCAAAUGCUAGGAAAGCAAGAGUUGAAUUGCUAGCCAUGAGGAAAACGUAAGCCUGAGCUGUUUGCUGGUCAUCUUUGCUUCCAUAUGGAGACAGCCUGCGUGGAAAGGAAGCCACACAGAGAAAACAGAAGAGCAGUGAAGAGAAAGGUAAAAGGAGAGAUCCCAUGACAUGAUUUGCACUCUUAGAUCCAGUUAUGCCUGAAGCAGGACCCACCCCUUGGACUUCCCAUUUCCAGGAGCCUAUGCAUUCUCUGUUGCUAAAACUAGAUUGAGUUGAGUUUCUAUCACCUACAAGUUGACAGAAAAUAUCAACAAUCCAGCCACAUGGAGCCUCAAGGCAGUACCACUAACCCUGGUCACCACACAAAUACUGACCAGAGGCUUUUCACCUGAAUCAACUGUUUGUGUUCUUCACUCGGUCUCCUCACCUGCUUCCUGGAAGACCUAGCUGACACAGAUGGUUACAAGAAAUGAUUUCCUCCCUAUAAAACUUUAGAAGAUCGCGCUUGCUGCUCUGUGAAGAAGGACUGGGCGAAAAACAAAUAGAAUCAGGGAGAACAGUCCGAGGGUGAUCAAAAUAAUCCAGACGGAAGACGACUACGUUUUAGUCUGAAGUGGUGGGAGUGGUGAUGGAGAAGAGCAGACGUCUGCGAGUUUUAUUUUGGAGAUAGAGCCACAGGACUUGCAGCAAGAGCUCUGGAGGUGGGAAGGAGGACAAGGAGGAGAGAGGAGCAACCAGAAGCUGUGGUGGCUGUUAGUCUGCAGAGAAUAAUUCAAGACAGAUAUUUGCAAGCUGCAUGGAGCACAAGCCCUGUACAUCCAGAUGACAAUGUGAUCGUUCACAAGCACAUUGAAAAAUUCACACCAUGGAAAAGAACUAAAGUCCCAUCCUAAUUCAUCAGAGCCUUCUGUUUCCUGUAACAAAGAAGAACUCACAAGAUCGGGAUUCCAAGGUAUAUAUCCAGGAGUGGAAGUGCUGAAUUACAUGCUUCUUGUAUAGAAGAUACCCCAAAAAAUGUUUGCUGAAUGAAGAAAUAAAGGAUUGCUCAGGCACCACUGGCACUUCAACUUGCUUAGCAAGUACUCAUGCCUCUUAAGAACUGGCCAAGGGCCGGGUGUGGUGGCUCACGCCUGUAAUUCCAGCAUUUUGGGAUGCCAAGGUGGGCAGA
Molecule: non-coding RNA, 1420 nt
Organism: Macaca mulatta (Rhesus monkey)
Lineage: Eukaryota; Metazoa; Chordata; Mammalia; Primates; Cercopithecidae
Source: RefSeq, a predicted model, not a curated record